RNAcentral lists this ribosomal RNA (497 nucleotides) under uncultured bacterium. RNAcentral's name for it is "partial 16S ribosomal RNA". It matches the Rfam family "Bacterial small subunit ribosomal RNA", at positions 28 to 507 of the family's 1533-position model. The record is from RNAcentral.
GAUGAACGCUGGCGGCGUGCCUAAUACAUGCAAGUCGAGCGAACAGACGAGGAGCUUGCUCCUCUGACGUUAGCGGCGGACGGGUGAGUAACACGUGGAUAACCUACCUAUAAUACUGGGAUAACUUCGGGAAACCGGAGCUAAUACCGGAUAAUAUAUUGAACCGCAUGGUUCAAUAGUGAAAGACGGCUUUGCUGUCACUUAUAGAUGGAUCCGCGCCGCAUUAGCUAGUUGGUAAGGUAACGGCUUACCAAGGCAACGAUGCGUAGCCGACCUGAGAGGGUGAUCGGCCACACUGGAACUGAGACACGGUCCAGACUCCUACGGGAGGCAGCAGUAGGGAAUCUUCCGCAAUGGGCGAAAGCCUGACGGAGCAACGCCGCGUGAGUGAUGAAGGUCUUCGGAUCGUAAAACUCUGUUAUUAGGGAAGAACAAAUGUGUAAGUAACUAUGCACGUCUUGACGGUACCUAAUCAGAAAGCCACGGCUAACUACGUG